Non-coding RNA from Schistosoma margrebowiei, 45 nucleotides. Lineage: Eukaryota; Metazoa; Platyhelminthes; Trematoda; Strigeidida; Schistosomatidae. The record is from Rfam.
AUCCAAUUGAUGAGUCCCAAAUGGGACGAAACACGCGUCAUCGAU